GAUGAACGCUGGCGGCGUGCUUAACACAUGCAAGUCGAACGAUCAAGCCCAGCUUUCUGGGUGCUGUAGUGACGAACGGGUGAGUAACACGUAAGUAACCUGCCCUUCACUCUGGGAUAAGCCUGUUAAACUGGGUCUAAUACUGGAUAUGACUUCUCUUCGCAUGGUUGGUGGUGGAGAGAUUUAUUGGUCUUGUAUGGACUCGCGGCCUAUCAGCUUGUUGGUGGGGUAAUGGUUCACCAAGGCGACGCCGGGUAGCCGACCUGUGAGGGUGACCGGCGACACGGGGACUGCGAGAGGGAGCAGACGCGUACGGGAGGCAGCAGUGGGGAACAUUGCAGAAUGAGGGCAAGCGUGAUGUAGCGACGCCGCGUGAGGGAUGCCGGCCUACGGGUGGUAAACCUCUGUCAGUAGGGAAGAAGAGGGAGUGACGGUACCUGCAGAAGAAGCGCCGGCUAACUACGUG
RNAcentral lists this ribosomal RNA (466 nucleotides) under uncultured bacterium. RNAcentral describes it as "partial 16S ribosomal RNA". It matches the Rfam family "Bacterial small subunit ribosomal RNA", at positions 28 to 507 of the family's 1533-position model. The record is from RNAcentral.